ACAGCGUCAUGGCGUUUUGUCGGCAAAGAUGGAAUAUUUCAACUUUCGCGUUUGCUGCGUUUGACGCGACUUUGCCCAAACUCGACGUGCUGAAUUCACCCACCAACGCAGUAAAACUUUGGUUACUCCCGACAAAAUCUCCCUCCUUUCUACACACACACAACUACACACGCUGCUGCAUUCAAACAAACACUCAUGUCUUUCUGUGUGAGAAAUAACAACUUCUCCUCACAGAAGAUACAUUCUGGUCUCUUUCUUCACAAGCCGAGUGAUUACUUCCUUCUGUGCUUUGGUUUCUGUUUUAUGAUACUUGCACAGACAGACACACAAAUACACACACCUGAGGGGCGAAUCAAUGAGCAACAUGAUGUGUAAUUGGGGACUUUUUUCUCCCUCUGCAAAGCAGACUGAUUUGUUUUAAUUUAAUUUGGACUCUUUACGCUGAGAUAACAUUAAUGAAGUUUUUCUUCUUAACUUUAAACCACGGCGCUUCUGUCCCUGCUUUAUGUAGAGAUCUAUGAGCCAGGACUACCUGUCUGUCUGUCUGUCUCCCUUUCAGUCUCCCUGUUUCGGUCUACAUGUCUACCUAUCUGUUUACCUGUCUGUCGACCUACCCCCCUGUCACGGUUCAUGAAUCCAGCGCCCCCCCUUUUUUGGGGUUUUUGUUUUUUUAUGUGGGGGGGGGGGGGGGGUGAAGUGGGCGGAGUCAGCAGCCCAGCAUAAUCAACAGGGCAGCUGAUCACACUUUGCUGUAGCUGGUUUCGCUAUAAGACUCUCACGUGUCCCUCCUCUCACUGUCAGAUCGUUAUUUGAUGUCUCCCGUGUUCCUGGUCGCCGGAUCUCUGCCUCUGGGCUCAUCGUCAUCAUCGUCAUCAUCAUCAUCCUCCUCCUCCUCCCCGGGCUACGGGCUGACCACCCCGUCCAUGCGCCACCCACCACCAGGAGGAUCUCGGGCGCUUGGGGACUGCAAUUAUUGACUCUGACAUAAUAAACUCUGUUUUCACUCUCAUAUCUGCGUCCGCAUCUUUAGGAUCAUGACACUACCUGUAUGUCUACUUUUUAGUUUACCAGUCCACCUGUCUGUUUACCUGUCUCCCUGUAUGUCUACCUGUCCCACUACCAGUCCACCUGUCUGUUUACCUGUCUCCCUGUAUGUCUACCUGUCCCACUACCAGUCCACCUGUCUGUUUACCUGUCUCCCUGUAUGUCUACCUGUCCCACUACCAGUCCACCUGUCUGUUUACCUGUCUCCCUGUAUGUCUACCUGUCCCACUACCAGUCUACCUGUUGGUCUAUCCCACUUUCGGUUUACCGGUCUGCCUGUCUGCCUGUCUACUUUGUCAGUUAAGGGUAGUUUGAUUCAUGUCUGGUGGGGGUUGUUUUCUGUUCUUUUAACCACUUAAAGUGCUUUAAUAUGACAUGUUAUUAUUCACUCAUAAAGAUAUACAAACUAGAUUUAUGUAAACGUGUGCAACCUCUAAAAGAUAUAUGUAAAGAUUGAUAUAAUAGAAGGGCGAUAAGGCAGAUCAAAUCAAGAAGGGGCAGGCGGGGAAUCCGUGGUCAAAAGACAGGCGAGGUCAUAACAAAAGUAUAUUGAGCUCACUGGGAGAACGCUGGAUAACUUGGAAAACACACAGAAUCUGGUAGGGAAUCUGUGAGGGAAUCUGGUAGGAAACUGGCGAGUGGCUGAUGAGUGGAUGUGCUGCAGGUGAGAACCAGGUGUGCGUAAUGAGCUCAUAAUGUGGGAUGAUCUGAAAUGACAAGAGUAAGAAAACAUGCAGGUAAGAUGAAAAAAAAGUGCGAUCAACUUUGUGACAUAACGACAUACAACCUUACCGAUAUAUAACCUUUGUAGGUAUACAUAUGACAUUUGUAGGUAUAAAGAUAUAUAACCUCUAUAGAUAUACAGAUAUAUAACCUCUGUAGAUUUAAGCAAUAAGUUGCCUUUAUAAUACGGUACCAGCGAAAUUAUAAAUAUUAAGUAAAUAGUUGCCUUUUAGCACAAAAUAGUUGUAGCCACCAAACAUUGUGUAUCUCAUUUCAGUAGUCUACAGAAAAAUACUCCCUGUACGUGCAUGUAAACCGCAUUGGGUUCAUUCGAUGACGUCCACCUUAAUUGUCCGGUUGCAAAAGUUCGCAUUGCCUGAAACUGAUCAUUUGUGGGACUUUUUUCGGUCUUUUUUCUGCGAUCGGCACCGAGCUAAAAGCUAAAAUGUCAAUCAGUCGCGCGAAAGCUAACCUGUUACUUUGAGUGCGCAGUGAUGUGGAACGUUCGGUCAAUGUGAACAGGUACUGUACAUUAUCGCCCAAUUAUAGAGCCCCCAUGACUCACUCUCAACCAAUCAGAACACUGGAUUGCAUCUACCCGUGUUAUAGUAUACAGAUAUAUAACCUCUAUACAUAUAAAGAUAGGAAUAUUUUUUUAUACAAUAUAAUGCUAAAGGGAACAUUGCUGACUGAAAACAUGAAUCCUCAAAAGAACAUGAGCUGUUUUUGUUCUGCAACCAAAAGAAUUACACAUGAAACAAUUAAACCUGUUUCCUUUCAUCUGUGAAUGGUGAGGUCGAAAGGGCCUGGGGUGCGUCUGUUUGUGUGUAUGUAAAAGGGGGGGGGGCGGGGGUGUGUGUGUGCGCGCGGGGUGCGUGCAUGGGUGCGUGUGUGUGUGUGUAUGUGUGCGCGCGGGGUGCAUGCGUGUGUGUGUGCGCGCGGGGUGCGUGCAUGGGUGCGUGUGUGUGUGUGUGUGUGCGUGUGUGUGUGUGCGGGGUGGUGUGUGUGUGUGCGUGUGUGUGUGGGUGCGUGCGGGGUGGUGUGUGUGUGUGCGUGUGUGUGUGGGUGCGUGCAUGGGUGCGUGUGUGUGUGUGCGCGGGGGGUGUGCAUGUGUGUGCGUGUGUGCGUGCGUGUGUGUGCGCGGGGGGUGUGCAUGUGUGUGUGUGUGUGCGUGUGUGCGUGUGCGUGUGCGUGUGUGUGUGUGUGUGUGUGUGUGCGCGGGGUGCGUGUGUGAUUGAGCGAGCUUUAGUAAUAUACAAUUGAAUACCCUGACACCCGAUGGUCUUCAUCCUGAGGGCACAUCCUCCUCUCUCAAGAACGCUCUGUCUUCAUCACAGUCUGGUGAACAUCUUGUUGUUUUUGUCACAGUUUUCAGGACAUCCUGUUGUUGUAAUUACAGUCUUUUUGACAUCAUUUUGUCUUGUUAUGUCUGGCAGGAGGAAGCUGAAAACAGAAGAGUACAUCAUAAUGGUCCUCCUUUGAGUAAAUGUAAUUCAAUCCGGAGAGACUUGUUGAAAUUUGAAUAAUGCUUUAUUAUAACAGGUAUAAUAUGAUAUUGCAAGUUGUUUGGGGCUUGGACUCCAUCCUGCCGCAGAAUAGAGCCGGGGCCGGGAUCUCGAGCCGAGACGAGGCACAUCCCCCCCUUGGGAGUCCAGACACUGGUGGUGGUGGUAGAGCCCACGUUGCAUAAUUCUCCUGCUACGCCAGGUUCUGCUGUAGACUGGAGGUGUCCGGGGUGGUGGCGGGUGACCUUUGCCGGUGGUGGCGGGUCACCUUUGGGGGUGGUGGCGGGUCACCUUUGGCGGUGGUGACGGGUCACCUUUGGGGGUGGUGGCGGGUCACCUUUGGGGGUGGUGGCGGCUUCACCUUUGGGGGUGGUGGCGGGUCACCUUUGGCGGUGGUGACGGGUCACCUUUGGGGGUGGUGGCGGGUCACCUUUGGCGGUGGUGGCGGGUCACCUUUGGGGGUGGUGGCGGGUCACCUUUGGAGCGAGCUGAAAUGACAACUGACGGCACAAGAGAGGAGAACCGUUUUUUCGCCUAAGCUUCAUUUAGUUGCUUUCCCACUCUGUGCUUUACUGCUUUUAGUGACAGGUGUUUGUUAGAGUUUCCAGAUGCUUCUCCAGUACGGAGGUCCAGCUGUAAGAGAAGCAACGCUCUACUUCAUUAAAAAAAGACUCAAAUAAGGAAGAAGGAACAGAAGAGAGUUACCUGUGAAGACUCAGAUGUGACGAGAGAGGAAGAGGACGAUGAUGAGGAAGUCAUCUUCAGUCUCCAGAGUGACUUCAGCAGGAGCUUUCAACUCCUCGGGUGUCCUACAAAAGUGAGAUUAUUGUGACCUUCAGUAUUCACAACUGGAGAUCAAGUUGUCCAUGACAAACGUCUGUGGGUAAGAGCUAUUUAUAUCAUAGAAUCUUCCAACCCUUCAGAAGAACAAAGGAUCUCCUCCUGUUCUGCUUCAAACACAAAUAGAGAACAAAGAUCGGCAAACUUGGAUGUGUAUUCAUAAACACAGCAUUAAAAUAUAUUAACAUCACUUUGUUCUCGCUGUACUUUUCGGAGUCCCUCGGCUCCUUUAAAUCUAGAUUAAAGACUUCUGUUGGAUGCUGCUUUUAAUUUACUGUGUUUAGUAUUUUGGUACUUUUAAACUACACUGCAGAAUUUAUUCUAUUUUUAGUUUUUUAACGUUGUUUUUUGAAUGACUUUUUCUUUCAUGUUUCAAUCAUCGGACCAAGGACUCAUCUCUUUUCUUGUCUUACUGGACCUCAGUGCCACAUUUGACACAAUUGAUCGUUGUAUCCUGUUGCAGAGACUAGAACAUUUGACUGGUAUUAAACAAACCGCCCUCAGCUGGUUUUAGUCGUAUUUAUUGGAUCGAUCCAGUUGGUGUUUGUAAAUGGUCGAUCAGCGAUGACCACCAAUGUUGGUCACAGAGUCCCAGAAGGUUCUGGGCUUGGACCGAUUUAGUUUACCCUCUAUUUGCUUCCUUUGCUACCUUUGACCCGCUGACACAGGUGGGCGUGGCAGUCAGGAACACUUCUAUCAUGUUUACCUGCUUCUUUGCAUUCACUUUAGUUUUAAUCUUGCUUUAAACUUCUCUUCCCUUUAAGACGAGCCUAGAAACUAAAUGUAAAAUAACGUGAUGGGACAAAAAUGUGUAACAGUCUACUGAGCACGUAGCUGUUGUGACCCUUGUCUCCUAGCAAGGAAAUAAAUGGAGAAAGACAUUUGAUUCAGAAAUUAAUUAAUGUUAAUGUGUUAAUAAAAUGUUAAUAAAAUGUUACCCACAGAGAUUUUCCGAUUGUCUGUGCAAAUCUUCCAUCACAAACCAUGGUGAUGAACACAAUGUCAUGUAAUUGCAUGUAUUAUACAUUGUUCUGUACACAUGGCAUCCAUUGUAGUCUGUCCAUCAGGAGACGGAUCCCUCCUCUGACCUUCUCACUAAGGUUUCUACCCUUUUUUUCCCUCUUGGAAGGUUUUUUCAUUGUUUGGGGAGUUGUUCCUGUGCCGAUGGAGGGUUUCUGGACAGAGGAUGUUGUAUGUGUACAGACUGUAAAGCCCUCUGAGGCAAAUUUGUAAUUUGCGAUUUUGGUCUAUACAAAAUAAAAUUAAUUGAAUUAAAUGAAUUAAACGUCAAAGUUAUAAACACAAUAUCUUUGCUCUUUUCACAGGAGAUUGCCGGGUUUUCAAGAGAGUUAUUCGCCAUAUUUUAUAUCUGAUUAUUGACCAGUUUGCCAGUCUUCUUGUCCCUUGUUUGAGCACUCUGAGGUGAGUAAAAGAUUCAUUAGCUGCCGCGUUUAAACCAAAAGACCCCCUCUCGUGCGCUCAUAUUUACCAGCUGAAGGGCCAACCACGAAGGCAGCGUUUGUUGACUGAAGGAUGAACGUGAAUGUGAGUCUGUGAUUGUCUUUGUGUCCUCAGCUGAAGAGUUGCUCUGUAAUUUGUUUGCCUGCUGAAGAGUGUCAGCUGAAGUCUGGCGUCUUUAAAAGCUCAGCCUGACAAGUAAAUGGAUGAAAAUUGCCAGAGAAGAAGCUUGUUUGGGAUUUUGUUUUGAUUUCCCGCAGAAUGACAUUCCUUUUAGGAAAUGGCAGAGUGAUAAAUGAUUGUGGAUUCUGUUGGGUUGGGGCGACCCUGAUUUAGACCUGGGGUAUCUUUCUCUUUGCCGUAAUGUCCCCCAUUUACCCCUCACCGGAUGCACAAAUGGAUGUCGAUAUUCUUUGUGCCAUCAAAAGUCCAAACUUGUGCGCAAAUACCGUCCUGACUUUAUUAAGUACGGCUUCGUAAACGGAGGUAAUGAGGCGGAGCCGAGAGCCCAGUGUGUGGAGUGUGGACUAACGCUCUCCAACAAAGCAUUGAAGCCGUCAAAAUGAAUGUGCCACUUUGAAAGCAAACAUCCAACGCUUGUGGGAGUUCUGGUUCACAGCCAGGGCUGGCUCAGGUUCACAGUCAGGGCUGGCUCAGGUUCACAGUUAGGGCUGGCUCAGGUUCACAGUCAGGGCUGUCUCAGGUUCACAGUCAGGGCUGGCUGAGGUUCACAGUCAGGGCUGGCUGAGGUUCACAGUCAGGGCUGGCUCAAGUUCACAGUCAGGGCUGGCUCAGGUUCACAGUCAGGGCUGGCUGAGGUUCACAGUCAGGGCUGGCUCAAGUUCACAGUCAGGGCUGGCUCAGGUUCACAGUCAGGGCUGGCUGAGGUUCACAGUCAGGGCUGGCUCAAGUUCACAGUCAGGGCUGGCUCAAGUUCACAGUCAGGGCUGGCUCAGGUUCACAGUCAGGGCUGCCUCAGAUUCACAGUCAGGGCUGGCUGAGGUUCACAGUCAGGGCUGGCUCAGGUUCACAGUCAGGGCUGGCUCAGGUUCACAGUCAGGGCUGGCUGAGGUUCUCAGUCAGGGCUGGCUCAGGUUCACAGUCAGGGCUGGCUGAGGUUCUCAGUCAGGGCUGGCUCAGGUUCACAGUCAGGUCUGGCUGAGGCUCUCAGUCAGGGCUGGCUCAGGUUCACAGUUGGCUCAGAUUUCUGCUGUUGUCUGCUUAGUAGUAGUGAACAGUCAGCUUGUUCUCUGACCACGUUGAUUUUUUUUAACCUUACUCAAACGCCUUCUCGUGAAGUGAAUAUUUUCUUCAUGCACGUCAUGUUCUGUUUACAGUAAAAUGAUCUGAUAGAUUAAAGUCUGAUGGUAAAAAGAUAAAGUAAUAAUCAUCUUAUAAUACAGAGGGAACAUUCUCCUUUAGUCACAGCUUCCCCUGGAGUAUCCGGUGGAUGUUCCUCCAAACAUGUUUAUUCAUAAGAGCCAGAUAUGUAUUUAUAUGCAUUUAUUUAGUGGACUGAAGCCAUAUUGGCAGAGCUCCCCAUUUCAAAGCUGUUUUGAUCACAUUUCUGUGUAAAUACUGAGAUUCAGCCUCUAUACGUGCUCAAGAAGAAAAAAUUACAGAAAUAUAAGUGUGUGUGUGUGUGUGUGGGCGAGCGAGCAACACUUUGUUUUGUCAUGUCGAGGGCUCUGCCUGAGAAGGAAAUUGGAAACAGCAUUCUUCUUUCAUCUCUCUGCCUCCCCACCAACUCAAACACACACACAUUCCCUCAAAAAUCACACAUCUUUUCCUCCAGCUAGUUGAUCCCACCUGAAAGCUCUCUGAUGCAAACACGUGAACCUCUGAACACACUGAUGAAUCCUGAAGCAGGCAGCAGAGGUGUGUGUGUGUGUGUGUGUGUGUGUGUGUGUGUGUGUGUCUCCUCCGUUCAUAAAAGCAGAUCUUGAGGUGAUAGAAAACAAACAAUGAAGACGUCUGAAAUGAAAGCAGGAAAACAAAAGAGGAUUUAAGAGAAUCUGAGUCUGCAGCUUUUAAUUCUUUUCUCUCUGGGUCACACACACACACACUUUCACUUUGAUGUAAUGAAAACUUGUUAGAAGACGUACUGUUUUACGUAACUACAUUAAAGCUGUUUAAACUUUACAGCCUUCGUGGACUUUUUAGAGGCAGUUUGAAUCACGUCGUUAUCGUGAAAACAUGUUUUUGAAGACACUACAACUUGUGUCUGCCUGGUUGGCACUUUCUGCUUUGCCCUCUGACCUUUCACUCCUCAACCAGUGACUCCCUACAUGAGAACUGGGAAAAUCGUUUUCGAUUAUCACUUAUUGUGUUACAUGUGUUCAAUGACACACUCUCUCUCUGAGUGGCGCUGAGAGCGAUGACGUUUUGCAGCUGGUCGGCGUGCUAAACGCCGCCAUGGACCCGGAGGUCCAGAGAAGACCUCCACUGGUCACAACUGAGACGGCAGGAAGGACAACCGAGGACAGUGGGGGUCCAGCAGGGGGUGAAAAAGGGACAGGUCGAGUCCAGGAGAGUGUGGUGAGUGAAUGCAGAGUCCAGCUGGUGGAGAGAGGGACUCUCAUUAUGUAUUGAUUCAUAUGCUCCUCGGUAUGUAUUGAUCUGCUGCCGCCUCACUGACAACAAAUUGGUUGUGAAAGUGAAAGUGAAAGAGGAAAAGGUCAAAUUGCUCUGUUUGUAAAAGGUCAAAGCUCACCUGUGACUGUUACACCUCCAGUUAGAGUAUCAGACUGAAGAAGUGCGCCCGAGAACAAUUGAAGGACCAUAAACUACAACAGAUUUACAGCGCCUUGCAUAAGUCAUUUCAUUGGGAUUUUAUGUAAUGGACCAACACAAAACAGUCCACCAUAUGGAUUUUACUAACAAACCCUGACAAAGAUCUGGGUCAACCAAUUGCCCUCACAGGUUUUCAAGUCACAUAAUUAUUAGAUUUGGUGCAACGUCUCAGGAUAAAUACACUACUGUAUUAGUGUGAUGCAUUACUGUGUAGUGUAGUCGGACAUGUAGUCCGACAGGAAGUCACCAUGUUCAUGUAGUCCGACAGGAAGUCACCAUGUUCAUGUAGUCCGACAGGAAGUCGCCGUGUUCAUGUAGUCCGACAGGAAGUCGCCGUGUUCAUGUAGUCCGACAGGAAGUCGCCGUGUUCAUGUAGUCCGACAGGAAGUCGCCGUGUUCAUGUAGUCCGACAGGAAGUCACCAUGUUCAUGUAGUCCGACAGGAAGUCACCAUGUUCAUGUAGUCCGACAGGAAGUCGCCAUGUUCAUGUAGUCCGACAGGAAGUCGCCGUGUUCAUGUAGUCCGACAGGAAGUCGCCGUGUUCAUGUAGUCCGACAGGAAGUCGCCGUGUUCAUGUAG
Gasterosteus aculeatus aculeatus (three-spined stickleback) is the source of this 8942-nucleotide long non-coding RNA. The record is from Ensembl. Lineage: Eukaryota; Metazoa; Chordata; Actinopteri; Perciformes; Gasterosteidae.